This 253-nucleotide ribosomal RNA is filed under the name uncultured bacterium. RNAcentral's name for it is "partial 16S ribosomal RNA". It matches the Rfam family "Bacterial small subunit ribosomal RNA", at positions 524 to 776 of the family's 1533-position model. The record is from RNAcentral.
UACGAAGGAUGCAAGCGUUAUCCGGAUUCACUGGGUUUAAAGGGUGUGCAGGUGGGGUAAUAAGUCAGUGGUGAAAGCCCCCGACUCAAUCGGGGAACUGCCAUAGAUACUGUUAUUCUUGAGUGUGGUUGAGGUGGAUGGAAUAUGACAUGUAGCGGUGAAAUGCUUAGAUAUGUCAUAGAACACCGAUCGCGAAGGCAGUCCGCCAAACCAUUACUGACACUGAAACACGAAAGUGCGGGGAUCAAACAGG